UCUGAACAAUGCAACUGUUAAUUGCAGAUUUGAAGUAAUAAUCUGAAUCUGGGUAUCUAUCAUCUCCUUUAUUAUUACUUAUUCCAUGAAAGUUACUAAAUAGUAAUUUCUUCUAUAUGUAAAUUUGUACUUCUUUCACCAAAAUAAACAUUGUAGUUCUCUGUUUCAGAUUGAAUUGUUUUUAAUUGAAAAUUUAGGUGCAUCUUGCUUAUGCUGCAAUGUGAAGGCUUGAUCAAUAAAAAUGAAAAUAAAUAUUGGCAAAAUAGAAAGAAAAAAAUGGGAUUAAAAAACAGAGUAAUUUAGUUCCACUAAUAGGGAUGGAAGAGAAUAGAACAACUUAUCUGUUCUAUUCAACCCUAUUCUGUCUGUGUGCUAAACGCUAUCUUAAUAGUUAUACUGAAUAAUGGGUUGAUAUGGUACAGUAACAGCUUAUUUAAAGGAUGUUCUCUUUUUGGAUUUCAUCUUUUGAUGACAUUUUUUCUGCUUUUAAAUCUAAAUUGGUGCAUUUGUUUAUAGAUGACUCACUGAUGGAGUAAUGGUAUAAAGGGCAACUCGAUAUACAAGGUUUGCACCUACCAAGUUGUUUUCCGUAUUUGAACCCAUUACCUACAUGUGACAAGCCAAGUCACCUACCAUUAUGCCGAGACUCCCCCUCGCGAUGGUAUAUAUUCAAACAUUUUCCUCGUCAAAUUCAUAUUGACUUCUAUGGUUAUGGACCCAACAAUUAUGAGAAUAGCGUGAUUAUUCUAGCUAACAUUUGUUUUAAGUGUAGAUAUCGUCACGAUUUAGGCGUGUAGAAUACGCUCAGAACCAACUGUAAGAUGGGAAAAAAUAUCAUGAUGCAUUGGUGGACCAGAGAAAAUUCCAGUCUCAGCUAACUGAAUAGGUUUCAAAUGGAAUUUUCUUGCUUUGGAUUAUGCAUUCACGUGUAUAGUUCUUCAGUUGAACCCCUGUAGUGAUGGGGAGAACAAAAUAAAGAUUGGGAAAUAAAAUGAAUAACUAGAUUUUGCUUCAUUGCGAGUACAACAACAACCA
This 1035-nucleotide long non-coding RNA is filed under the name Lupinus angustifolius (narrow-leaved blue lupine). Its description in RNAcentral is "long non-coding RNA (LANG_LNC001783)". Lineage: Eukaryota; Viridiplantae; Streptophyta; Magnoliopsida; Fabales; Fabaceae. The record is from RNAcentral.